Long non-coding RNA from Aethalodelphis obliquidens (Pacific white-sided dolphin), 134 nucleotides. RefSeq lists it as uncharacterized. The record is from RefSeq and is a predicted model, not a curated record. Lineage: Eukaryota; Metazoa; Chordata; Mammalia; Artiodactyla; Delphinidae. The transcript is spliced from 3 exons.
UAUUGAGUAGAGUUCCCUGUGCCCUACAGUAGGACCUUGUUGUUUAUCCAUCCGAUAUGUAAUAGUUUAUAGCUGCUAAUCCCAAACUCCCAAUCCAUCCCUCCCCCAAAUCCUUCCCCCUUGGCAACCACAAG